GCCGAAGUGGUGGAACUGGUAGACACGCCAUCUUGAGGGGGUGGUGGGCAAUUGCUCGUGCGAGUUCGAGUCUCGCCUUCGGCACCA
RNAcentral lists this transfer RNA (87 nucleotides) under Desulfuromusa kysingii. Its description in RNAcentral is "tRNA_Leu_GAG". It matches the Rfam family "tRNA". From Rfam's summary of the family: Transfer RNA (tRNA) molecules are approximately 80 nucleotides in length. Their secondary structure includes four short double-helical elements and three loops (D, anti-codon, and T loops). RNAcentral also lists the same sequence under 10 other names. The record is from RNAcentral. Lineage: Bacteria; Pseudomonadati; Thermodesulfobacteriota; Desulfuromonadia; Desulfuromonadales; Geopsychrobacteraceae.